UACGGGGGGAGCAAGCGUUGUUCGGAUUUACUGGGCGUAGAGGGCGCGUAGGCGGCCAGCACAAGUCAGUUGUGAAAUCUCCGAGCUUAACUCGGAACGGUCAACUGAUACUGUGCGGCUAGAGUGCGGAAGGGGCAACUGGAAUUCUUGGUGUAGCGGUGAAAUGCGUAGAUAUCAAGAGGAACACCUGCGGCGAAGGCGGGUUGCUGGGCCGACCCUGACGCUGAGGCGCGAAAGCCAGGGGAGCGAACGGG
This 254-nucleotide ribosomal RNA is filed under the name uncultured bacterium. Its description in RNAcentral is "partial 16S ribosomal RNA". It matches the Rfam family "Bacterial small subunit ribosomal RNA", at positions 524 to 776 of the family's 1533-position model. The record is from RNAcentral.